GCUAAAAGUGGAAUCACAUUCAAGUGAAAUUUACAACAUUCCUAGCAAGACAGUGUCAUAUGGACAAGGACCUCAGCAUUUCUAAUCUAUCUUUCAUCAACAAUGCCUAAAGGCAAUCAUAUCUCCCACCAAAUCUCUCAGACCAUCCUUUCAAUCAAGAACCAUACUGAAAUAUACACUUUUUUUUUGUUGUUCUUCUCAGCGCCAUUCACUGACUCCAAGCUCCUUAAUCGCAUGUAGAUUAAAGAAGAGGAAGGGCUAGAGGUGAUCCAUGUAGAUUAAAGAAGAGGAAGGGCUAGAGGUGAUCCAUGUAGAUUAAAGAAGAGGAAGGGCUAGAGGUGGUCCAUGUUUCGCCACUGGUAGAAACUCCAUGAACUCUGUGAAGAUAUUUUUCGUUUAGGGUUCCCAACUUCUGUGAACAAGACCCAGGAUCAAGUUCCCAAGUUGGUUCUAGGGUGUCUCAUUUUCCCAUACAAGUAGGCCCUAAGGAUUCUCAUACACAGUAAAAAGGAAGAAAAAAGAAAAAUCCAAACCCAGCUUGCUCAAUGGAGAAACCCUAACCCUAAACAUUAUGACUAAUAUACCCCUUGAAAAUAUCAAUGCACAUGCCUCCUACCAAAGAAGAGGAGGAAGAAAGAAUCUGAAGAGGAAGAAGAAAAAUGGGAUAAUUAACUGAUUGAUAAAGAAGAUACAAAACCCAAGUCUUCAUGAUUGAAUUAAACUCUAGAUACAAAGAAUAACACACAAAAAAAACCCACAAAGUAGGAAAGUAGUUCUUCACAGGCUGAGGCUAGUAAUUUUACAGUGAUAAUCAGCAAGGUUCACAUGUAAUGGUGAAGUUGGUUCGUCUCCAAAGACAACCUCCAUGAGUCAGUAAGGGAAAUUACAUACCAGUAAUACAGAUAAAAAAUCUCUCUACUACUCCUCUUUAGGCUCCUUAAACAUCUGGGACGGCAGGAGGUCCUCAAGAAGUCCAUGAUCUCUCAGCAGAGAAGCUGGAGAAGGACGGAGCCGUCUCUCAUGGAGGAAAGUGGGGUUAAUGGAGGAGGAAUUCAUGUGGUUGAAGUUCAAAGAAAGAGAAGAGUUAUUGAAAUAGGGUUGCUGCUGCUGC
This 1111-nucleotide long non-coding RNA is filed under the name Vitis vinifera (wine grape). Its description in RNAcentral is "long non-coding RNA (VVIN_LNC001259)". Lineage: Eukaryota; Viridiplantae; Streptophyta; Magnoliopsida; Vitales; Vitaceae. The record is from RNAcentral.